Molecule: unclassified non-coding RNA, 365 nt
Filed under: Hevea brasiliensis (rubber tree)
Lineage: Eukaryota; Viridiplantae; Streptophyta; Magnoliopsida; Malpighiales; Euphorbiaceae
Source: RNAcentral
GGGAGUGUGAGGGCGGGUUUUGGUUUAAAGGUAUUUUUAGUAUUAGAUUUUUAUUUUAGGGCUUUAUUUUUCUUCGCUAAGACCUUAUUUAGUAGUAAAUUUGGUAACUUCAAAGAGAAGGAUGAAAUUGUUAAAUGGUUUCAAACAUUAGGGAUGAUAUUGUGAUAAAUUGAAACAUGGGCUGAGUUGUGCAUUUGACCAAAGUUUAGGCGUAUUUUAGUAAAUUACCCUUUUCUUUGGUCAAAGUAGCAAAAAUAAAGUACUUUUUAUUUUAAUUUUUCAUUAUAUUUCACUAUUGGAGGAUGAGAAUUACAGAUGUUGCCUCCAAUGGCUGAAUUGAUAACUAUAAUUGGUAUGUUAUAGGG